CGUCAUCGUAGGGUUAGUCGGGACCUAAGUCGAGUCCGAAAGGGGUAGACGAUGGCAAAUUGAUUAAUAUUUCAAUACCAACAUAUAAGCGCGAUGUGGGGACGCAUAGAGUUAAUCGAGCUCACUGAUGGAAUAGUGGGUCGAAGGAUGUAGGUUGUACAGUAGGCAAAUCCGCUGUACAUUAGACCGAGAUCUUACAGGCAGAGCAAUUACUUCGGUAAGCGCUUUGAACCCUUGAUACUGUCGUGCCGAGAAAAGCCUCUAAGCGAGAACAACCGUUGCCCGUACCGUAAACCGACACAGGUGGGUGAGAUGAGUAUUCUAAGGCGCGUGGAUGAACCCUGGUUAAGGAACUCUGCAAACUAGCACCGUAUCUUCGGUAUAAGGUGUGCCUACAUUGUUAAGGGACUUGCUCCCAAAAGCAAUCUAAGGUCGCAGCAAAGUGUCCCUCCCGACUGUUUAC
RNAcentral lists this ribosomal RNA (463 nucleotides) under uncultured bacterium. RNAcentral's name for it is "bacterial LSU rRNA". It matches the Rfam family "Bacterial large subunit ribosomal RNA", at positions 1367 to 1807 of the family's 2925-position model. The record is from RNAcentral.